RNAcentral lists this ribosomal RNA (482 nucleotides) under uncultured bacterium. RNAcentral's name for it is "partial 16S ribosomal RNA". It matches the Rfam family "Bacterial small subunit ribosomal RNA", at positions 30 to 507 of the family's 1533-position model. The record is from RNAcentral.
AUUGAACGCUGGCGGCAUGCCUUACACAUGCAAGUCGAACGGUAACGGGCCUUCGGGUGCCGACGCGUGGCGAACGGGUGAGUAAUACAUCCGAACGUGCCCGAUCGUGGGGGGUAACGAGUCGAAAGCUUUGCUAAUACCGCAUACGAUCUACGGAUGAAAGCCGGGGACCGCAAGGCCUAGCGCGGACGGAGCGGCCGAUGGCAGAUUAGGUAGUUGGUGGGAUAAAAGCUUACCAAGCCGACGAUCUGUAGCUGGUCUGAGAGGAUGAUCAGCCACACUGGGACUGAGACACGGCCCAGACUCCUACGGGAGGCAGCAGUGGGGAAUUUUGGACAAUGGGCGCAAGCCUGAUCCAGCCAUGCCGCGUGAAGGAUGAAGGCCUUCGGGUUGUAAACUGCUUUUGUACGGAACGAAAAGCCUUCUUUUAAUACAGGAGGGUCAUGACGGUACCGUAAGAAUAAGCACCGGCUAACUACGUG